AACGAACGCUGGCGGCAUGCCUAACACAUGCAAGUCGAACGAGACCUUCGGGUCUAGUGGCGCACGGGUGCGUAACGCGUGGGAAUCUACCCUCAGGUUCGGAAUAACUCAGAGAAAUUUGAGCUAAUACCGGAUGAUGACGUAAGUCCAAAGAUUUAUCGCCUGAGGAUGAGCCCGCGUAGGAUUAGGUAGUUGGUGAGGUAAAGGCUCACCAAGCCGACGAUCCUUAGCUGGUCUGAGAGGAUGAUCAGCCACACUGGGACUGAGACACGGCCCAGACUCCUACGGGAGGCAGCAGUGGGGAAUAUUGGACAAUGGGCGAAAGCCUGAUCCAGCAAUGCCGCGUGAGUGAUGAAGGCCUUAGGGUUGUAAAGCUCUUUUACCCGGGAUGAUAAUGACAGUACCGGGAGAAUAGGCUCCGGCUAACUCCGUG
Molecule: ribosomal RNA, 433 nt
Filed under: uncultured bacterium
Lineage: Bacteria
Description: partial 16S ribosomal RNA
Rfam family: Bacterial small subunit ribosomal RNA
Source: RNAcentral